This is a non-coding RNA of Phasianus colchicus (ring-necked pheasant), 1426 nucleotides long. The record is from RefSeq and is a predicted model, not a curated record. NCBI's taxonomy places the organism in Eukaryota, Metazoa, Chordata, Aves, Galliformes, Phasianidae.
ACAGCCUCUCAUCAUCCCGACCCGGUGAGAUGGUGAAAGCAGUGAGCGUUUGGGAGUCUCUAGGAGUGUGAUCUUGUUCCUAUCGUGGAGGUGUGGUGGGACAGCUUGCAUGACUGGAAUGCGGUUGUGGAUGGCUGCGUUCCUUGUAGGAGAGACAGACAGCUGAGGUGGUGAAGUUUCUCUUCUGGUGGGAGAACUGGAACGUGCCGAGCCUCACCUCCCUCCACAGCAAGGUGACGGGACAGCUGUAAGUGACCUGUUGAGCAAAAAUUUCUAAGUAGUCACGGUGGGUUUGGUGAGGGGAAGUGAUGCUGGACCAAGGCUGUAGCCUUCUGCGUUGUGACUAGUUAGAUGAGAGAAGGGCAGUGGGUGGUAUGGGGGGAAUAUCUUACUGUCAGUAAUUAUCUGAAGUGCAGGCGUCUUGCUGAUGAUGUGCUUGUUUGUGCAUUGAUGGGAGGUGUGAGGUGGAAACGUUCAGAGACUGGAAUGUCAGUUCUUGUGUUGUGAGUGAUGGAAUAGGCUGUGGAGUUGCUUUCUCUGGGGGUCUGUGGGUUGUGUCUGGAUAUGUUGUUGCAGGGUGAGUGCUGCAAUGGAGCAUUUAGCAGUGAGGAUCUGCCUGAGCGUGGGAGUGGUUUCAUUGGAGGUGAGAUGAAGGAGGUGAUGGUGUGUGGCAGGUCUGCUCCUGGAAGAAUGGAAUUGACAGUGUGAGGGGAGGAGUGCAGCCUACAGGACUCUGGCAACCAGGCAGCCUGUGAGCCUGAGACUUGGGUUCCUCCAUCUCAAGGUGAAACUGUACUGCAGUAUGUGGAUGCCACGGAAACAAAAGAGGACUGUUUGGAGUGGGUUUGCUGAAUUUCUUGGUUUAAAUGAUUACCAAGUUUCUCAGUGGAAAUCAAAAGAAGAGAGAGCAAUUUGCUGAAUGCCUGGAAAACCAACAUGGAUAUACCUCUGUUCCUGGGGGGGCCUUGGUAUGUUGUUUCUUUAGGUUGUGGUGUGGCUGGCAUCCUGAGGGGAAAGUCCUCAUCCUAGGCUUGUGGGUGUGCAGAGUCCAUGGAAGAAGCAGAGGAGAGCUCCAGGUAGGCAUGUGUCUGGUGUAGCCCUUUGACCUGGGAUCCUCUUAGUGGGUGUAGAGAUUGGUUAGUGUAUGGGAACUGCUCAAUCAUAGCCUGAAGUUCUGAUUGACUGACUGCCUGAGGUGAGCAAUGUAUGUGCCCUGCUGGAAGGGGUGGAGUUUGGCUCCACCUCUCUGAUUUCCUGUUUAAGAGCUGAUGAGUGGGGAAGGGUCUCUUGGAGUCUUCUCAGUGAGCCUGGAAUGAGGGUAAGUUUUCUGUAUGUUUCUUAAUUGCAGCUUGUUAGCAUGGGGGGAUGUAUGUAGUUUGUGUGGUUGCUUGGCUUGGAGGAUACCAAAGGGGGAGAGCACAGCUUC